CCAGAUACUUUGGCUUGGAAAAACGUGCUGCAGCAAUGUAUCCUGCCUUGAAGAAUGAAGAUAGCCAAUGGAUGUAGCUCAAGCUCGCAGCAAACAACUGCAUGUAAUUGUUAAUACCCAUAUAGAAGCAUGUAGUGAAAUUGUGAUCUCCAGUUUUUUCUCUUGACCAAGUCCAGUUCAGCGGUCCCAUCUGCUGUCCCAUCCCGCUACAAGAUCUGGCAUUCGCAGCACUAAGUCACUUCGGUUGCUCCAAAAAUGAGAUGCUGCAAACAAAUUAAAGGACCGAAAGUAGUAAUGUCAGUAAACACACUAAUGUUACGUAUCUACAUCUUUUCCAAAGCACGGUAAAUAUUUUCAAAGUUUACUGUCACAUGUGUGAACGUACGUGCCUUGAUAGUUUGAUUGUUUAUCAAGGUGAAAAUAGUUGCUUAAAAGAAAUUAGUACCUCAGAUCGGUUGUUUCGAUGUACAAGUAGCUAAGAGUCCAAACUGUAUCAUCCUAUUUUGGAAAGCCGUGAGAUAACCAGCCGGACGGUUAAGUGAUACUAGUGUCUCACUCUGCGUGUUCUUUUUUUUCCAUCGCAUAAAAUAUAAAUUAUGUUGCAUUACAAACUAUACAAGUAGGGGAGCAAGAUGGAAAGCUAAAACCAAAAAACUUCCAUUUGACUCGAGAAUUCCAACAAAUGGUGGGAAGCAUUGCGAAGACAGCGAACAAGUCCGCAGUAAAACUUAAGCUAGGACGCGGACAGCGCGGCUACUCCCUAAAACUCGGGUCAAAACCUUCUAAUCGGGGAAAAGGAGUAGUGUUCCGUGGCGAUUGCAAUCUCUUACCUUGGAAGGGAGCAGACAGCAGAGCGGAGGUCGCUGGACGUGCCACGGCGUCAGACGCCCUGACCGAGUCGGGGCCCCCGCCCCCGGCAACUUUACGCCGGAGCGCGUGCGCAUUGGCUCCCCGCGCCGCCGGCCGCCGUUGCUGCUGCUCCGUUUGGGACUCCGGUAGGUG
RNAcentral lists this long non-coding RNA (1002 nucleotides) under Setaria italica (foxtail millet). Its description in RNAcentral is "long non-coding RNA (SITA_LNC007474)". The record is from RNAcentral. Lineage: Eukaryota; Viridiplantae; Streptophyta; Magnoliopsida; Poales; Poaceae.